AAAGGAAUUGACGGGGGCCCGCACAAGCGGAGGAACAUGUGGUUUAAUUCGAUGAUACGCGAGGAACCUUACCCGGGCUUAAAUUGCACUGGACAGGCUCAGAGAUGGGCUCUUCUUCGGACCAGUGUGAAGGUGCUGCAUGGUUGUCGUCAGCUCGUGCCGUGAGGUGUCGGCUUAAGUGCCAUAACGAGCGCAACCCUUGCCAAUAGUUGCCAUCAGGUCAUGCUGGGAACUCUAUUGGGACUGCCAUCGUAAGAUGUGAGGAAGGUGGGGAUGACGUCAAAUCAGCACGGCCCUUACGUCCGGGGCUACACACGUGUUACAAUGGGAGGUACAGAAGGCUGCUACCCGGCGACGGGAUGCCAAUCCCCAAAACCUCUCUCAGUUCGGAUUGGAGUCUGCAACCCGACUCCAUGAAGCUGGAUUCGCUAGUAAUCGCGCAUCAGCCACGGCGCGGUGAAUACGUUCCCGGGCCUUGUACACACCGCCCGU
This 492-nucleotide ribosomal RNA is filed under the name uncultured bacterium. RNAcentral describes it as "bacterial SSU rRNA". It matches the Rfam family "Bacterial small subunit ribosomal RNA", at positions 903 to 1397 of the family's 1533-position model. The record is from RNAcentral.